Molecule: transfer RNA, 72 nt
Filed under: Anneissia japonica
Lineage: Eukaryota; Metazoa; Echinodermata; Crinoidea; Comatulida; Comatulidae
Description: tRNA-Pro
Rfam family: tRNA
About the family: Transfer RNA (tRNA) molecules are approximately 80 nucleotides in length. Their secondary structure includes four short double-helical elements and three loops (D, anti-codon, and T loops). Further hydrogen bonds mediate the characteristic L-shaped molecular structure. tRNAs have two regions of fundamental functional importance: the anti-codon, which is responsible for specific mRNA codon recognition, and the 3' end, to which the tRNAs corresponding amino acid is attached (by aminoacyl-tRNA synthetases). tRNAs cope with the degeneracy of the genetic code in two manners: having more than one tRNA (with a specific anti-codon) for a particular amino acid; and 'wobble' base-pairing, i.e. permitting non-standard base-pairing at the 3rd anti-codon position.
Source: RNAcentral
GGCUCGUUGUUCUAGUGGCAUGAUUCUCGCUUUGGGUGCGAGAGACCCCGGGUUCAAUUCCCGGACGAGCCC